RNAcentral lists this ribosomal RNA (396 nucleotides) under uncultured bacterium. RNAcentral describes it as "partial 16S ribosomal RNA". It matches the Rfam family "Bacterial small subunit ribosomal RNA", at positions 360 to 774 of the family's 1533-position model. The record is from RNAcentral.
AAUAUUGCACAAUGGAGGGAACUCUGAUGCAGCGACGCCGCGUGAGCGACGAAGGCCUNCUGGUCNUNAAGCUCUGUUCUAUGGGNAGUUAAUGACUGUACCAUAGUAGGAAGCCCCGGCUAACUACGUGCCAGCAGCCGCGGUAAUACGUAGGGGGCGAGCGUUGUCCGGAAUUACUGGGCGUAAAGGGUACGCAGGCGGCCAUGUAAGUCAGAUGUGAAAGGUCAGGGCUCAACCGUGGUAAGCAUUUGAAACUGUGUGGGUUGAGUUAAGGAGAGGAAAGUGGAAUUCCUGGUGUAGCGGUGAAAUGCGUAGAUAUCAGGAGGAAUACCAGUGGCGAAGGCGACUUUCUGGACUUAAACUGACGCUGAGGUACGAAAGCGUGGGGAGCAAACA